AUACGGAGGGUGCAAGCGUUAAUCGGAAUUACUGGGCGUAAAGCGCACGCAGGCGGUCUGUCAAGUCGGAUGUGAAAUCCCCGGGCUCAACCUGGGAACUGCAUUCGAAACUGGCAGGCUUGAGUCUUGUAGAGGGGGGUAGAAUUCCAGGUGUAGCGGUGAAAUGCGUAGAGAUCUGGAGGAAUACCGGUGGCGAAGGCGGCCCCCUGGACAAAGACUGACGCUCAGGUGCGAAAGCGUGGGGAGCAAACAGGAUUAGAUACCCUGGUAGUCCACGCUGUAAACGAUGUCGACUUGGAGGUUGUUCCCUUGAGGAGUGGCUUCCGGAGCUAACGCGUUAAGUCGACCGCCUGGGGAGUACGGCCGCAAGGUUAAA
RNAcentral lists this ribosomal RNA (376 nucleotides) under uncultured Klebsiella sp. RNAcentral's name for it is "bacterial SSU rRNA". It matches the Rfam family "Bacterial small subunit ribosomal RNA", at positions 523 to 898 of the family's 1533-position model. The record is from RNAcentral. Lineage: Bacteria; Pseudomonadati; Pseudomonadota; Gammaproteobacteria; Enterobacterales; Enterobacteriaceae.